GGGGCUGUAACUUAGUGUAGAGCACUUACCUAGCAUGCAUGAGGCACUGGGUUCAAUCCCCAGCACCACA
This 70-nucleotide transfer RNA is filed under the name Marmota monax (woodchuck). RNAcentral's name for it is "tRNA.Ala". Lineage: Eukaryota; Metazoa; Chordata; Mammalia; Rodentia; Sciuridae. The record is from RNAcentral.